RNAcentral lists this ribosomal RNA (599 nucleotides) under Nitratireductor aquibiodomus. Its description in RNAcentral is "bacterial SSU rRNA". It matches the Rfam family "Bacterial small subunit ribosomal RNA", at positions 96 to 730 of the family's 1533-position model. The record is from RNAcentral. Lineage: Bacteria; Pseudomonadati; Pseudomonadota; Alphaproteobacteria; Hyphomicrobiales; Phyllobacteriaceae.
CGGCAGACGGGUGAGUAAUGCAUGGGAAUCUACCCAGCUCUACGGAAUAACUCAGGGAAACUUGAACUAAUACCGUAUGCGCCCUUCGGGGGAAAGAUUUAUCGGAGUUGGAUGAGCCCAUGUCUGAUUAGCUAGUUGGUGGGGUAAAGGCCUACCAAGGCGACGAUCAGUAGCUGGUCUGAGAGGAUGAUCAGCCACACUGGGACUGAGACACGGCCCAGACUCCUACGGGAGGCAGCAGUGGGGAAUAUUGGACAAUGGGCGAAAGCCUGAUCCAGCCAUGCCGCGUGAGUGAUGAAGGCCCUAGGGUUGUAAAGCUCUUUCACCGGUGAAGAUAAUGACGGUAACCGGAGAAGAAGCCCCGGCUAACUUCGUGCCAGCAGCCGCGGUAAUACGAAGGGGGCUAGCGUUGUUCGGAAUUACUGGGCGUAAAGCGCGCGUAGGCGGAUCGGUCAGUUAGGGGUGAAAUCCCGGGGCUCAACCCCGGAACUGCCUCUAAUACUGCCGAUCUAGAGUUCGAGAGAGGUGAGUGGAAUUCCGAGUGUAGAGGUGAAAUUCGUAGAUAUUCGGAGGAACACCAGUGGCGAAGGCGGCUCACU